AUUCCAGCUCCAAUAGCGUAUAUUAAUGUUGUUGCAGUUAAAAAGCUCGUAGUUGGAUUUCUGGUUGGACCGCGAUGCCGGACUCGCAAGGGCUCGUGAUUGUUGUGGUUUCCUUCCAUCCUCAGGUUUGCGCGUGCUGGCCUUAACUGGUCGGUGGGUGUGGUCCUGUCGUUUACUGUGAACAAAUUAGAGUGUUCAAAGCAAGGUGUACUUGAAUACAUUAGCAUGGAAUAAUAAGAUAGGACUUUGGUGGUUCUUUUUGAUAUUUUGUUGGUUUGCACGCCAAAGUAAUGAUUAAUAGGAGCAGUUGGGGGUAUUCGUAUUCAAUUGUCAGAGGUGAAAUUCUUGGAUUUAUAGAAGACGAACUACUGCGAAAGCAUUUACCAAGGAUGUUUUCAUUG
Molecule: ribosomal RNA, 401 nt
Filed under: Pedinellales sp.
Lineage: Eukaryota; Dictyochophyceae; Pedinellales
Description: partial small subunit ribosomal RNA
Rfam family: Eukaryotic small subunit ribosomal RNA
Source: RNAcentral